Molecule: non-coding RNA, 73 nt
Organism: Stegodyphus mimosarum
Lineage: Eukaryota; Metazoa; Arthropoda; Arachnida; Araneae; Eresidae
Source: Rfam
GCCUCCGUGGUGUAAUGGUCAGCACACUCGGCGCGUAUUCGAGAAAUCCGAGGUUCAAGUCCCGGCGGGCGCA